GCCCCGGUAGCUCAGCGGCUAGAAGAGGUGGCAAAAGCAACGGCCUUGUAAGCCGUAGGUCGCGGGUUCGAAACCCGCCCGGGGCUCCA
This 89-nucleotide transfer RNA is filed under the name Desulfobacterales bacterium. RNAcentral's name for it is "tRNA-Thr". It matches the Rfam family "tRNA". Rfam says of the family: Transfer RNA (tRNA) molecules are approximately 80 nucleotides in length. Their secondary structure includes four short double-helical elements and three loops (D, anti-codon, and T loops). Lineage: Bacteria; Pseudomonadati; Thermodesulfobacteriota; Desulfobacteria; Desulfobacterales. The record is from RNAcentral.